This 414-nucleotide ribosomal RNA is filed under the name Triticum aestivum (bread wheat). Its description in RNAcentral is "partial small subunit ribosomal RNA". The record is from RNAcentral. Lineage: Eukaryota; Viridiplantae; Streptophyta; Magnoliopsida; Poales; Poaceae.
AUGACCGGGGAGCAGAGGGCCUUCCACCUCUGGAACGCAGGACUUCCACCCCUGUCUCCUCCUAUAAAUAGCUCCCUGCAUCCUCUAUCCCUCUCACCACCGCGGUCCUUCUCCUCUCAAAUCCACAUUGUUCUGUUCUUCCUAUCGCGAGGAAGUCAUUGUAGGAGGUUUUGGGUGAGAAGAAUUCCGGAGAACAUGGUGGCUAUGGGUGGGGAUGAAAGGCAGAGGAUGGAGGCUCCGGCAGGGGACAAGUUCCCGGAGGGGCUGCGCGUGCUCGCUGUGGACGACGACAGCGUCUGCCUCAAGGUACUGGAGGUCGUUCUGCGUUGCUGCAAAUACAACCCAACGACCGUGACGGACGCGAAGACAGCGUUGAAGAUGCUAAGGGCGGGAAGGCAGAGUUCGACCUGGUGA